UCCCUGGUGGACUAGUGGCUAGCAUGCAGCGCUCUCAUCGCUGUGCUCUGGGUUUGAUUCCUGGUCAGGGAA
Non-coding RNA from Pangasianodon gigas (Mekong giant catfish), 72 nucleotides. Lineage: Eukaryota; Metazoa; Chordata; Actinopteri; Siluriformes; Pangasiidae. The record is from the annotation of a GenBank genome assembly.